AUUUAGGGUUUCUUUCACUCUCUGUAAACCCAUCCAUCCCUCCGCCAUCGUCGCACCUUCUCUGCGCCAAGCCGCCAACUACCAAGCUACCUCGCAUCUUUCUCUCCAAACAAAACACAAUACAAUCGCCAUCUCCAAAGAAAAACACUCUCCAAACAAAACACAGUCACCAUAUGCCAUCUCCAAAGAAAACACAGUCGUUGACCGUCCACCAUCUCUCUAAGCAACUCGGUCUACCAUCUCUCCAAUCAACUCUCUCUCUCUCUCUGAAAUUGACGGAAGCAGCUCUGGCUCUUUUUCUUGGUGCACUGCAGCUCUGACUCUUUUUCUUUGGCCAUCGGAAAGCUACGCUGCAGAGGGGUAACUUUUUCUUGGGGUAGAGAGAGAGGAUAUUUAAAUGGCAGGAACAAAAUAAAUAGAUGGAGGCAGCUCUGGCUCUACGCAUCUUUUGAUGCUAAAGUGGUUCAAUGUCAAAUGUCUUUGAGAGGGAAAGUUAUAAAAUAGAGAGCAAGAAAGAUGAGAAGGAUUUCAUUCAAAUCUCUCUCACACACUCAUGUUUUGCAGAGGAGUAUACGGUCUGCUUCGCUUCAAUGCCACUCAAGAAUGAGACUUUUGUUCCUCAUUUAAGACAUGUUAUUUAUCUAUGCCACUCAAGAAUGAGACUUUUGUACCUCAAUUAAGAUAUGUUAUAUUAUUC
Molecule: long non-coding RNA, 697 nt
Organism: Amborella trichopoda
Lineage: Eukaryota; Viridiplantae; Streptophyta; Magnoliopsida; Amborellales; Amborellaceae
Source: RefSeq, a predicted model, not a curated record